GUCCAAAGUCAGGAAUCUGAUGUACAGUAGUUGUCGUUUGUUUAUGUAAUAUAUACGUGUUUCUCGUUUCUCGUUUUUUUAUAUAGAUUAGACCGUUGGUUUUCCCGUUUGAAUGGUUUUUCACUAGUAAUUUUGGGGCCUUUAAUAUCUUGUUGUUCGGUGUGAGCCAAGGCUCCGUGUUGAGGGCCGUACAUUGACCUAUAAUCAUGGUUUACUUUUUUUUUAAAUUGUUAUUUGGAUGGAGAGUUGUCUCAUUGGCACUCACACCACAUCUUCCUAUAUCUAUA
RNAcentral lists this long non-coding RNA (287 nucleotides) under Mytilus galloprovincialis (Mediterranean mussel). Lineage: Eukaryota; Metazoa; Mollusca; Bivalvia; Mytilida; Mytilidae. The record is from RNAcentral.